AAAAAAAAAAAAAGAUAAUGAAGAAAAAAAAUAGAAAUUAAUACUAUAAAUAAAUCACUAACCAAAAAUAUAGUUGAAUAAAAAUUUUUAUUUUAUGUCAAAGAAAAAGCAAAUUAAAUAAAAAAGAUGAGAAACAAAAAGAAGAUGAAUAAGAAAAAAGAAGAGAAAGAAAAAGAUAAUGAAAAGAAUAGAUAAGAAAGAAAAAGAUGAUGAAG
RNAcentral lists this unclassified non-coding RNA (215 nucleotides) under Hevea brasiliensis (rubber tree). Lineage: Eukaryota; Viridiplantae; Streptophyta; Magnoliopsida; Malpighiales; Euphorbiaceae. The record is from RNAcentral.